Coregonus clupeaformis (lake whitefish) is the source of this 913-nucleotide long non-coding RNA. RefSeq lists it as uncharacterized. The transcript has 4 exons. Lineage: Eukaryota; Metazoa; Chordata; Actinopteri; Salmoniformes; Salmonidae. The record is from RefSeq and is a predicted model, not a curated record.
AGGAUCUGCAGAGAAGAAUGGGAGAAACUCCCCAAUACAGAAUAGGACUGAAGAAGAAAUUGGUGGCUCUGGCCGAACGCAAAGACUACAAAGACCUUAUGCCUUGGGUGAAGAGUAUCUGCAUUCAUAUGUGGUGGCGUUGUAGCUCAUGUGGAGGAGAUGGAGGAGUUCAAGUUCCAUCACAUCUGUUGGGUCCAUCGCUGGGAAGAGGAUGGAGUGGAACACCGCUGUUACCAUGGAUAGCUAACAGAGGAUCAGCAGAGGGAGAAGAGGUGGCUACAGGAAGAUUCACCAACCUACAAAGCCCUGUACUCUCUGGUCAUGUACAGACGCCUGCAGAAUGAUCAGAUGUCACUGUUCAAGCACACAGGCACUCCAAGAUGCAUUGUUUACCCUAAACAAUCAAAACAGUGGAUUGCCCGGCCAAUAUAUCAGCCCAUCACUCAAAAAUUCAAGAAUGACCUGAUGGAGCGUGUCCUGCAGAGAUGCAUGGACAAAUCAGUGAAAUACUUGGAGCCAAAAUCCAGUGGAAGAGGCUGUGGUCUGGUUGCCAACAUAGCCCCUAUCCCAACAUGGUCCUCCUUGCACUACAACCUAAUACAAACACAUUCUAUUGUAACACAAUUUGUUAGCCUCUGGUCCUUAUCACUCUGCAUCUGUAGCAUUUGAUAAAAAUCCAUUCACUGUAGGCUACUACUGUACCUAAAAGCAUACCUACUUUAUACUGUCUAUUUUAUUGUAUAUUUGACCUUUAUUUAUGUGAAUUUUGAGAAUGCAUAGUCUAUACUGUGUAUUGUUCAUUAGACAGACCCCAAAUCUGUGUUGUAAAAAAUCACUACCGGUUCAAAUCAAAUCAAAUCAAAUUGUAUUGGUCACAUGCGCCGAAUACAACAGGUGCAGACAUCACAGUGAA